Molecule: long non-coding RNA, 1527 nt
Filed under: Scophthalmus maximus (turbot)
Lineage: Eukaryota; Metazoa; Chordata; Actinopteri; Pleuronectiformes; Scophthalmidae
Description: lncRNA (ENSSMAG00000026979.1)
Source: RNAcentral
CUUCACGCUCUCCAAGUCACUCCAAUGAAACCUCCUGUUAAAAGCCAUCAGUAUUUUUCUGAGUAACAGUCGUGUCGAGAGUCUACUCAGCAGUAAGAUAACGGAUGUUUGAAGUAACCUCGCCAUGCACUUUGUUUAUUUACCAUAACGUCACUGCUGCCUUACUUACAUAUAGGGACUUCAUGUUUCUUAUAGGGGUUGACUGAUUAUCAGCCGUGUCCAUAUUCACCGCUUUCAUGGCACGAUUUGCCGAUGAGAUAAUUUCAUUAUAAAAUGUGCUACUUUGGCUAUGAUGCUGCCGCAGUCACGACUCUGGACUUUAGCGAUGUCCUGUCCAUAUUUGUUUGUUUGUUCACUAAUUUACUCCACACACACUCCACAUAUCUAUUAUCGGCGUCUUAGAUAAGUAAUAAUCGUAAUCGGCCUGAAAAAGCCGAAUCGGUCGACCCCCUAGUUUCUUAUCCUCAUCUAAUGCACUUGUGUUGUUGUAAUAGCCAGGUCGGACACUGUGCAAAACCUAUCCAAUCAUUCCCUCUAUAAAUACUGUAUCACAUGAUCAUGAAAAAAUAAGGUCAGGGCAACUCUCGAUGGACAACAAAUGGGAUAAAAGCUCAUGAAUAGAACAUGUUUGUAAUGGAAUCUGCUGCCUGUGCAUUGUCACAGUGACACUGUUGGAGAUAAAGUCACGAAGCGGCCAAAUACACAUGGGCAUCACAUUCCUGUAUUACCUCGAUGACUUCAUUGUAAACCUUGAAGAUGCAGCUACAGUAAGAAUCUGAUCCGAAUCCCACUGUGCUGCCGUGGCGGUGGAAGACGCCCCCCCACACCCAAACACACACACACACACACGCACACACUGUGUCCCUGUAGCAACAUCAUGAGAACGUUACCGGAGCGCUACAGUCAUUUCCACUAAGAACGGUGGGCGGCGCGCACGCAGCCCCGUCUCUCGUUGCGAGACGUGUCAGCGCACGUCCCCAAUCAUCCAACCAGCCCGCGAGACAGCACUUUCUUCAAACCAAGCCGGGCGGAGCCAAGCUGGGCCGAACCGCACCGCAGCGCACCGCGCUCGACCAGAGCCAAACCUAUCCGAGCAUUCAGCCUGUGCACGGCGGCAGCAGCGGGCGGCAGGCUGAUGGCGAAGAUGAUGAUGAUGAUGAUGAUGAUGACCUGGUGGUAGCUCAUCUUUUACGCACCCCGACCCGCCGCCGCGUUCCUUAUAAACCCACUGUCUGCCUCCACACGUUCAAUUUUCCACGCCGCCACCAUGGAGACGACACUUCACAGGAGCGAUUUUGUCGUUUCCCAGCUGCUCCUGUUCAGCCAACUAGUCAUGGCAGUGGAGCCGCUGAAGAAACUCCCCGAGGACAUUGACUGGUCGUACUCAGGUCUGUACGACUCAGUGUUUGUUUUUUUAAUUUUCCCAUUCCUGUCCUUGCAGAAAACUUGAAAAAAGACAGUUCUUUACAGUGAUGAGACGAAAUCCAAAGUGAAAUAAAUCGAUGAAUGCAAAAAAGCACUAAAACU